UCAGCCCCAGGCCGGCUUCCGGGAGCCCCGCUAAGUGCAGGGGGAUACCCCGUCCUUGGCGGCUGCUUGCCUUUCUCCGUACUGUCCCUGUGAAGGUCAAGAUCUAUAGGGAGUUGAGAGUCCCCAGACAUACGAUGGGCGAGUUGCACCUACUCAGUGUGGGAGACAACCAGGGUGACGACUUUUGCCAUGAUCCACUUCCACAUAACGAAUGCUAUAUAUCCAACUGUAUUUCCAGCGAUCUGUGGAAGAUUGGAUUUUCUUCACAUACUUCAAGCAAAACAAAUGGCAGCAAAUCAAAUGCAGAAGCAGAUGCGAUAUCCAACUAUAUUCUACUAAGCCAGAUGUAGAAGACAUUUGCAAAAGACAUUUGA
Cercocebus atys (sooty mangabey) is the source of this 374-nucleotide long non-coding RNA. RefSeq lists it as uncharacterized. The record is from RefSeq and is a predicted model, not a curated record. The transcript is spliced from 3 exons. NCBI's taxonomy places the organism in Eukaryota, Metazoa, Chordata, Mammalia, Primates, Cercopithecidae.